RNAcentral lists this ribosomal RNA (303 nucleotides) under uncultured bacterium. RNAcentral describes it as "bacterial SSU rRNA". It matches the Rfam family "Bacterial small subunit ribosomal RNA", at positions 355 to 675 of the family's 1533-position model. The record is from RNAcentral.
UGGGGAAUAUUGCGCAAUGGGGGAAACCCUGACGCAGCAACGCCGCGUGCGGGAUGAAGGCCUUCGGGUUGUAAACCGCUUUCAGCAGGGAAGAUCCAAGACGGUACCUGCAGAAGAAGCCCCGGCUAACUACGUGCCAGCAGCCGCGGUAAUACGUAGGGGGCAAGCGUUAUCCGGAUUCAUUGGGCGUAAAGCGCGCGCAGGCGGGUUGCUAAGCGGGACCUCUAAUCUCAGGGCUCAACCUUGAGCCGGGUCCCGAACUGGCAGCCUCGGGUUCGGUAGGGGAGAUCGGAAUUCCCGGUG